CCUCCCUUCCUCCUGCGCCUCUGCGUCACCGUCCUUGUCGGCUAUCGGGCCACGCGAGGAUGCAGCCUGGCCCGGCCACAUCGUCGUCGUCCUCGUCUCAGGCCAUCACCACCCGGAUCUGCACCACCACCGGUGCCCCGUCGCGCACCUAUCCGCCGGGGCUGAGGAGGAAACCAGGCAGCCUCCAUCUCUCAUCUCCGUCCGGCGACCGUCGCCGUGCAGCUCGGCGGCAUGCGUGAUGCGGUUCAGUGCUGGUGCCGGUGCACGGGACUCCCCUACUUCUUCUCCCCACCGACGAACAUUCAACCACGCCAGUGUUUGAGCUCGCUUGCAUGUGUCGCGGCGCUUAGGUAUGGGAGCAAAGCAGCUGAUGGCGGUGCGGCAAGGAGGGUUGUUGACGCCGUCGCGGGUGGCCUCCGCUGGCUCUGUAUCAUUGAUGCUUCCCCUGACCACAGGUUGCCUCCGUCCCAUGACCAAGUGUUGUUUUCCCCCAGUAGUUUUGUUUUUUUGCUUUUGAAGAGUAUCCUUGCAGUUAACUUUGUGCUCGGUGUAAUUCGCGUGUGAGUCCGUGGACUAUAGAGCCUUUCUUUUUUAAUAUUGUUUGCAAUUCUCUAGAUGUGUGUUGCAGUGCAUUGCAUAAUGUAUAAACAUCUUUGAAGUUCACUAAGCUUUGUCACUCCGGCA
This is a long non-coding RNA of Triticum dicoccoides, 684 nucleotides long. RefSeq lists it as uncharacterized. The record is from RefSeq and is a predicted model, not a curated record. Lineage: Eukaryota; Viridiplantae; Streptophyta; Magnoliopsida; Poales; Poaceae. The transcript is spliced from 3 exons.